GGAGGGAGUAUUAUAUAUAGAUUAUUAUUUCAAUAAUGGUGUUAUUGAUGAGUUGUAAGUUUAUAUGUGCCAAGUAAUUUGAAUAAAUAUGACAAUAUUUAUCUUUAUAUGCAUUUAAAUUUUAAUUUGUGUUGCUUUACAAAUAUUUUUUUUAUUUUUUUAUCAAUCGAUUAGUGGAAAAACAGGGGUUGAACAUGAUAUAAUUGUCAUUCGUUUUUAAAUAAUAUACAUGAUCUUUUUAAAUUUAAAUAGACGUGCUAUUAUAAAAUUAAGCAGUUCAAUUUAUUUUUUUAUUUUUAAAUAGUAUCAAUACUGAUUCUCCAAUUAAUAAUUUUUCAAUGAGCCAUUUUGAUGUUU
RNAcentral lists this long non-coding RNA (357 nucleotides) under Salvia miltiorrhiza (redroot sage). Its description in RNAcentral is "long non-coding RNA (SMIL_LNC008714)". The record is from RNAcentral. Lineage: Eukaryota; Viridiplantae; Streptophyta; Magnoliopsida; Lamiales; Lamiaceae.